UCUAACAUUGUGAUCAAGAUAAAAUAAAAAAUAUUACCAAACAACUUUGAUAUUGAUUUUCUUUGAUCCAAUAGUUAGAGAAGGUGUUCCUCAGAUUACUCACAGCCACACAAAGUCAUUUGGCCUCUAUAAGAAAAUUCAUGCAAAGACUGGUGCAGAUAAGAGAUUUGGAGGUGCUAGCCUGCAAGCAACUUUGACAGCUGAUUUAUUCCUUUUUCUUCAAGGACCUUGGACACUCCAAAGGAUGAAGGGAUCU
Molecule: long non-coding RNA, 256 nt
Filed under: Elaeis guineensis (African oil palm)
Lineage: Eukaryota; Viridiplantae; Streptophyta; Magnoliopsida; Arecales; Arecaceae
Description: long non-coding RNA (EGUI_LNC041643)
Source: RNAcentral